GUCGAACGGCAGCACGGACUUCGGUCUGGUGGCGAGUGGCGAACGGGUGAGUAAUGUAUCGGAACGUGCCCAGUAGCGGGGGAUAACUACGCGAAAGCGUAGCUAAUACCGCAUACGCCCUACGGGGGAAAGCAGGGGAUCGCAAGACCUUGCACUAUUGGAGCGGCCGAUAUCGGAUUAGCUAGUUGGUGGGGUAACGGCUCACCAAGGCGACGAUCCGUAGCUGGUUUGAGAGGACGACCAGCCACACUGGGACUGAGACACGGCCCAGACUCCUACGGGAGGCAGCAGUGGGGAAUUUUGGACAAUGGGGGAAACCCUGAUCCAGCCAUCCCGCGUGUGCGAUGAAGGCCUUCGGGUUGUAAAGCACUUUUGGCAGGAAAGAAACGUCGUGGGUUAAUACCCCGCGAAACUGACGGUACCUGCAGAAUAAGCACCGGCUAACUACGUGCCAGCAGCCGCG
Molecule: ribosomal RNA, 463 nt
Filed under: uncultured bacterium
Lineage: Bacteria
Description: bacterial SSU rRNA
Rfam family: Bacterial small subunit ribosomal RNA
Source: RNAcentral